GAAUAUUGGACAAUGGGGGCAACCCUGAUCCAGCCAUGCCGCGUGUGUGAAGAAGGCCUUCGGGUUGUAAAGCACUUUAAGUUGGGAGGAAGGGGUGAUUACUAAUAAUGAUCAUCAUUGACGCUACCACCAGAAUAAGCACCGGCUAACUCUGUGCCCGCAGCCGCGGUAAUACAGAGGGUGCAAGCGUUAAUCGGAAUUACUGGGCGUAAAGCGCGCGUAGGCGGCUAAGUAAGUCGGGUGUGAAAGCCCCGGGCUCAACCUGGGAACUGCAUCCGAUACUGUUUGGCUAGAGUAUGAGAGAGGGAGGUAGAAUUCCACGUGUAGCGGUGAAAUGCGUAGAUAUGUGGAGGAAUACCGGUGGCGAAGGCGGCCUCCUGGCUUAAUACUGACGCUGAGGUGCGAAAGCGUGGGGAGCAAACAGG
This 425-nucleotide ribosomal RNA is filed under the name uncultured bacterium. RNAcentral's name for it is "bacterial SSU rRNA". It matches the Rfam family "Bacterial small subunit ribosomal RNA", at positions 359 to 776 of the family's 1533-position model. The record is from RNAcentral.